Coregonus clupeaformis (lake whitefish) is the source of this 1251-nucleotide long non-coding RNA. RefSeq lists it as uncharacterized. The transcript is spliced from 2 exons. NCBI's taxonomy places the organism in Eukaryota, Metazoa, Chordata, Actinopteri, Salmoniformes, Salmonidae. The record is from RefSeq and is a predicted model, not a curated record.
UAUUGUAGUGGUAUUGUAGUAGUACUGUAGUAGUAUUGUAGUAGUACUGUAGUAGUAGUAGUUCCUAAUCUUUUCUCUCCACUCCAGACUGGCAGAAAACGGAGGCUCAGAAGAGAAGAGAGCAGCUGCUGCUGGAUGAACUGGUCAUACUGGUCAACAAACGAGACGCGCUGGUCAGAGACCUCGAUGCACAGGAGAAACAGGCGGAGGAGGAAGAUGAGCACCUGGAGAGAACCCUCGAGCAGAACAAAGGCAAGAUGGCCAAGAAGGAAGAGAAGUGUGUCCUUCAAUGAUUGUCCUUUCAUUUCACACACACACACACACACACAUAUAGUCUGUGUCCCAAAUGGCACCCUCUGUCCUAUAUAGUACUUUUGACCAGGGCAACAUAGUGCACUAUACAGGGAAGAGGGGGCCAUUUGGGACACGAAUGUAGGCUACAAUAUUUGGUCGAUCGAUACAAGAAUUGCAUUAUUAUUAUUAUUAUUAUUAUAUUGACUAUUAUUGUUGUUGUUAUUAUACCAUUAUAUUGACUUAUUAUUAUUAUUAUUAUUAUUAUACCAUUAUAUUGACUAUUUGAUAAACCUAUAUUAGUAUGUUUAUUUGAACCCUGAAAUUGAAAUCCAGUCGUUGUUUUUUUGGUCAAGGGCUGUGAUUGUUUUACUGCUAAACUAAAAGGCAGCAUCCCAAAUGGAACCCUAUUCCCUAUAAAGUGCACUACUUUUGACCAGGGCCCUCCCUAUAUAGGAGAUAGGGUGUCAUUUGGGAGGUAUAGAGGCUCUGUGAUGAUGAGAGCCCAUGAUGCCUUGAACCAGCUUUAUACUGACAUGGAAAUGUGUCCCACUUAUACUAUAGACUUUAUUUUUAUUUUGUUGUGUUGUUGCUUUAUCAAGCAAGGUACUUGUAUUUAAUAUACAUAUAAAUGAUGGAAUAUACAGCCCAGUGGAAAACUACCAAGGGAGGGAUUGAAAUAUCAAAUAAUCAUGAUUCUAAAGGAAAAAAAGAGAUGGUUGUAUCCUAUAUGGCUUUGGAAUUUUACCUGAGACCUGAACAUUUAAUUUCAGACACAGCCUUCUCUGGCAGAACGUUUCAAUGUUGAGGAGCUAGGAGAGAGAGAUUCCUUUCUAGUGGUUUUGAGGAACAGCACAAGUUAUUUUAUGGGGGAUUUUGUUUUUUUAAUCGUUGAUGAUGAUAGCCUAUGAUAUUGUACUGACGUUUAUUAAUUCAAUUGGACAAAAAAAAAAAAAAGAG